Molecule: ribosomal RNA, 406 nt
Filed under: uncultured bacterium
Lineage: Bacteria
Description: partial 16S ribosomal RNA
Rfam family: Bacterial small subunit ribosomal RNA
Source: RNAcentral
AUUGAACGCUGGCGGCAGGCCUAACACAUGCAAGUCGAACGAGUGGCGGACGGGUGAGUAAUGUCUGGGAAACUGCCUGAUGGAGGGGGAUAACUACUGGAAACGGUAGCUAAUACCGCGUACCAUAAGAUGUGCCCAGGUGGGAUUAGGUUGUUGGUGGGGUAACGGCUCACCAAGGCGACGAUCCCUAGCUGGUCUGAGAGGAUGACCAGCCACACUGGAACUGAGACACGGCCCAGACUCCUACGGGAGGCAGCAGUGGGGAAUAUUGCACAAUGGGGGCAAGCCUGACGCAGCCAUGCCGCGUGAAUGAAGAAGGCCUUCGGGUUGUAAAGUACUUUCAGUGGGGAGGCGUUACCUACAGAAGAAGCACCGGCUAACUCCGUGCCAGCAGCCGCGGUAAUAC